GUUCUGUGAGGCAGCCACCUGUGGGCUCAGGAUCGGGCGGCAGACACUGCAGGGUGGGAUCGCGGGCUGCCUUUCUCAAAUUGCCGACCUGCUGUUUGUUUUCCUAAACUUCUGCGGUCAUUGGCGGGGAUGGACCCUUCAGAACCUAACUCACAGCAGCUCAGUCAGAGGGGACCAGAACUAGCUACCCUGAGCCCGGCCUGGUUCAGUGCCAUCACUAGUGUGCUGUGAGACUUGGGUGAGAUACUGAACUUCUUUAUGUCUCUGUUCUCCAGGGUCCCCGACUCCUCCUGGCCAGCCUGGAACUGUCUUGGAUUGCACACUGCAGUACCCAGUCCUGGGAAGCACUCAGUCCUAGGCAACUCCGGGUGAUGGGCGACAGUGUUCAACUGGCACACACCAGACCUGUAGACACACACACACACACACACACACACAACUUCACGUUUUCAGAGCCAUGUUAGAUUCAUAGCAGAAUCGGGAGGAGGGCAUGGAAAAUCCCACCCACUGCCCACCAUGGAGGCCCACCUACCUCACGUGAACCCUGGCUCAGGGGUGUGUCUAUUGUAAAUGACACACCUCUGGGGACACACUGUCAGGUGGUCUGGGAGUCCAGCACUCUGUGGGUUUGGACUAACAUGGGCCAGCGCCUGCAGGGCUCUCAUGGAGCAUGCCCUCUGCCUCGGAACCUGCGCCCCAGCCCUGGCACCCACCAAUGCCCUGCACUGUCUCCACGCUGGGUUCUCCCAUGAGCUUCUCCCACGCUGUGGGCUUCAGAUUGUACAGAAUGCAGCACGCUUACGGUUCUAUUUUAAGUUAUUUGUAGGUUUUAAUGAAG
Molecule: long non-coding RNA, 838 nt
Filed under: Marmota monax (woodchuck)
Lineage: Eukaryota; Metazoa; Chordata; Mammalia; Rodentia; Sciuridae
Source: RNAcentral